GAUGAACGCUGGCGGCGUGCCUAAUACAUGCAAGUCGAGCGAACAGACGAGGAGCUUGCGCCUCUGACGUUAGCGGCGGACGGGUGAGUAACACGUGGAUAACGUACCUAUAAGACUGGGAUAACUUCGGGACACCGGAGCAAAUACCGGAUAAUAUAUUGAACCGCAUGGUUCAAUAGUGAAAGACGGCUUUUUUGUCAGUAGUGGAUGGAUGCGCGCCGUAUUAGAUGGUUGGUGGGGUAGCGGCUUACCAAGGCUAGGCUGGGUAGCCGGCCGGAGCGGGUGAACGGCUACAUUGGGACUGAGAGACGGCCCAGCCGCCUAGGGGAGGCAGCAGUGGGGAAUAUUGCACAAUGGGCGGAAGCCUGAUGCAGCAACGCCGCGUGCGGGAUGACGGCCUUCGGGUUGUAAACCGCUGUCGCCUGUGACGAAGAGUGAGUGACGGUAAUGGGUAAAGAAGCACCGGCUAACUACGUG
This 477-nucleotide ribosomal RNA is filed under the name uncultured bacterium. Its description in RNAcentral is "partial 16S ribosomal RNA". It matches the Rfam family "Bacterial small subunit ribosomal RNA", at positions 28 to 507 of the family's 1533-position model. The record is from RNAcentral.